This 380-nucleotide ribosomal RNA is filed under the name uncultured eukaryote. Its description in RNAcentral is "partial 18S ribosomal RNA". It matches the Rfam family "Eukaryotic small subunit ribosomal RNA", at positions 592 to 976 of the family's 1831-position model. The record is from RNAcentral.
CAAUAGCGUAUAUUAAAGUUGUUGCGGUUAAAAAGCUCGUAGUUGGAUUUCUGCUGAGAACGACCGGUCCGCCCAUUGGGUGUGUAUCUGGCUCUUUCUUGGCAUCUUCUUGGUGAACGUUACUGCACUUGACUGUGUGGAGCGCUACCCAGGACUUUUACUUUGAGGAAAUUAGAGUGUUUCAAGCAGGCAUACGCCUUGAAUACGUUAGCAUGGAAUAAUAAGAUAGGACCUCGGUUCUAUUUUGUUGGUUUCUAGAGCUGAGGUAAUGAUUAAUAGGGAUAGCUGGGGGCAUUCGUAUUUAACUGUCAGAGGUGAAAUUCUAGGAUUUGUUAAAGACGGACUACUGCGAAAGCAUUUGCCAAGGAUGUUUUCAUUGA